RNAcentral lists this unclassified non-coding RNA (329 nucleotides) under soil metagenome. RNAcentral describes it as "partial contains 5.8S ribosomal RNA, internal transcribed spacer 2, and large subunit ribosomal RNA". The stretch from base 1 to 120 matches the Rfam family "5.8S ribosomal RNA", at positions 35 to 154 of the family's 154-position model. The record is from RNAcentral.
GAUUAAGAACGUAGCGAAAUGCGAUAAGUAGUGUGAAUUGCAGAAUUCAGUGAAUCAUCGAAUCUUUGAACGCACAUUGCGCCCCUUGGUAUCCCGAGGGGCAUGCCUGUUCGAGCGUCAUUUCACCACUCAAGCCUGGCUUGGUGUUGGGCGACGUCCUCUUUGGGGACGCGCCUCGAAACGCUCGGCGGCGUGGCACCGGCUUUAAGCGUAGCAGAAUCUUUCGCUUUGGAAGUCGGGGCCCCGUCUGCCGGAAGACCUGCUCGCAAGGUUGACCUCGGAUCAGGCAGGGAUACCCGCUGAACUUAAGCAUAUCAAUAAGCGGAGGA